Non-coding RNA from Pelobates cultripes (western spadefoot toad), 366 nucleotides. The record is from the annotation of a GenBank genome assembly. NCBI's taxonomy places the organism in Eukaryota, Metazoa, Chordata, Amphibia, Anura, Pelobatidae.
AUUUGCAUUUAACCCAUUGAUUUUAUUUUGUUUUCCCACCUGUAAUUCUUGAGUGUGGUGAACAGAACCUCAACACGGGCUCCUUGAGGAGCCGGCUUGCCGGCCUCCUGCCUCAGGACUAUGGGCCCUGCAAUAUACCUUGCCCAAUGUACUUUAAAAGGCUCUGUUCAUGUGAUUUAUGUACUUUCGUACUCCAGAAAGAGAGACUGACCGUUAGCCCUGAUUCCCUGGAACUGUUUUGGGCAUGGGACCAUUUGCAUGGUCGGUCAACAUUAUGACUUACAUGGAAAUCCGAACCUCUGAACCGAUCUGGGAGAUUUUUGGAUAUGUUGGUCCCCCAGAUUAAGGCUAUCAGGGAAUGUAACU